CUAACUGGAGGACCGAACCGACUAAUGUUGAAAAAUUAGCGGAUGACUUGUGGCUGGGGGUGAAAGGCCAAUCAAACCGGGAGAUAGCUGGUUCUCCCCGAAAGCUAUUUAGGUAGCGCCUCGUGAAUUCAUCUCCGGGGGUAGAGCACUGUUUCGGCAAGGGGGUCAUCCCGACUUACCAACCCGAUGCAAACUGCGAAUACCGGAGAAUGUUAUCACGGGAGACACACGGCGGGUGCUAACGUCCGUCGUGAAGAGGGAAACAACCCAGACCGCCAGCUAAGGUCCCAAAGUCAUGGUUAAGUGGGAAACGAUGUGGGAAGGCCCAGACAGCCAGGAUGUUGGCUUAGAAGCAGCCAUCAUUUAAAGAAAGCGUAAUAGCUCACUGGUCGAGUCGGCCUGCGCGGAAGAUGUAACGGGGCUAAACCAUGCACCGAAGCUGCGGCAGCGACACUAUGUGUUGUUGGGUAGGGGAGCGUUCUGUAAGCCUGUGAAGGUGUACUGUGAGGUAUGCUGGAGGUAUCAGAAGUGCGAAUGCUGACAUAAGUAACGAUAAAGCGGGUGAAAAGCCCGCUCGCCGGAAGACCAAGGGUUCCUGUCCAACGUUAAUCGGGGCAGGGUGAGUCGACCCCUAAGGCGAGGCCGAAAGGCGUAGUCGAUGGGAAACAGGUUAAUAUUCCUGUACUUGGUGUUACUGCGAAGGGGGGACGGAGAAGGCUAUGUUGGCCGGGCGACGGUUGUCCCGGUUUAAGCGUGUAGGCUGGUUUUCCAGGCAAAUCCGGAAAACUAAGGCUGAGGCGUGAUGACGAGGCACUACGGUGCUGAAGCAACAAAUGCCCUGCUUCCAGGAAAAGCCUCUAAGCAUCAGGUAACAUCAAAUCGUACCCCAAACCGACACAGGUGGUCAGGUAGAGAAUACCAAGGCGCUUGAGAGAACUCGGGUGAAGGAACUAGGCAAAAUGGUGCCGUAACUUCGGGAGAAGGCACGCUGAUAUGUAGGUGAAGUCCCUCGCGGAUGGAGCUGAAAUCAGUCGAAGAUACCAGCUGGCUGCAACUGUUUAUUAAAAACACAGCACUGUGCAAACACGAAAGUGGACGUAUACGGUGUGACGCCUGCCCGGUGCCGGAAGGUUAAUUGAUGGGGUCAGCGCAAGCGAAGCUCUUGAUCGAAGCCCCGGUAAACGGCGGCCGUAACUAUAACGGUCCUAAGGUAGCGAAAUUCCUUGUCGGGUAAGUUCCGACCUGCACGAAUGGCGUAAUGAUGGCCAGGCUGUCUCCACCCGAGACUCAGUGAAAUUGAACUCGCUGUGAAGAUGCAGUGUACCCGCGGCAAGACGGAAAGACCCCGUGAACCUUUACUAUAGCUUGACACUGAACAUUGAGCCUUGAUGUGUAGGAUAGGUGGGAGGCUUUGAAGUGUGGACGCCAGUCUGCAUGGAGCCGACCUUGAAAUACCACCCUUUAAUGUUUGAUGUUCUAACGUUGACCCGUAAUCCGGGUUGCGGACAGUGUCUGGUGGGUAGUUUGACUGGGGCGGUCUCCUCCUAAAGAGUAACGGAGGAGCACGAAGGUUGGCUAAUCCUGGUCGGACAUCAGGAGGUUAGUGCAAUGGCAUAAGCCAGCUUGACUGCGAGCGUGACGGCGCGAGCAGGUGCGAAAGCAGGUCAUAGUGAUCCGGUGGUUCUGAAUGGAAGGGCCAUCGCUCAACGGAUAAAAGGUACUCCGGGGAUAACAGGCUGAUACCGCCCAAGAGUUCAUAUCGACGGCGGUGUUUGGCACCUCGAUGUCGGCUCAUCACAUCCUGGGGCUGAAGUAGGUCCCAAGGGUAUGGCUGUUCGCCAUUUAAAGUGGUACGCGAGCUGGGUUUAGAACGUCGUGAGACAGUUCGGUCCCUAUCUGCCGUGGGCGCUGGAGAACUGAGGGGGGCUGCUCCUAGUACGAGAGGACCGGAGUGGACGCAUCACUGGUGUUCGGGUUGUCAUGCCAAUGGCACUGCCCGGUAGCUAAAUGCGGAAGAGAUAAGUGCUGAAAGCAUCUAAGCACGAAACUUGCCCCGAGAUGAGUUCUCCCUGACUCCUUGAGAGUCCUGAAGGAACGUUGAAGACGACGACGUUGAUAGGCCGGGUGUGUAAGCGCAGCGAUGCGUUGAGCUAACCGGUACUAAUGAACCGUGAGGCUUAACCUUACAACGCCGAAGGUGUUU
RNAcentral lists this ribosomal RNA (2203 nucleotides) under Shigella boydii. RNAcentral's name for it is "partial 23S ribosomal RNA". It matches the Rfam family "Bacterial large subunit ribosomal RNA", at positions 762 to 2925 of the family's 2925-position model. Lineage: Bacteria; Pseudomonadati; Pseudomonadota; Gammaproteobacteria; Enterobacterales; Enterobacteriaceae. The record is from RNAcentral.